UACAGAGGUCCCAAGCGUUGUUCGGAUUCACUGGGCGUAAAGGGUGCGUAGGUGGUGAGGUAAGUCGGAUGUGAAAUCUCCGAGCUCAACUCGGAAAUGGCAUUGGAAACUACCUUGCUCGAGGGUUGGAGGGGGGACUGGAAUGCUUGGUGUAGCAGUGAAAUGCGUAGAUAUCGGAAGGAACACCGGUGGCGAAGGCGGCUACCUGGACAGAUACUGACGCUGAGGCGCGAGAGCGUGGGGAGCAAACAGG
This 253-nucleotide ribosomal RNA is filed under the name uncultured bacterium. RNAcentral's name for it is "partial 16S ribosomal RNA". It matches the Rfam family "Bacterial small subunit ribosomal RNA", at positions 524 to 776 of the family's 1533-position model. The record is from RNAcentral.